UGGGGCAAAAGAUCUCUGGUAUUGGCCGCACUAGUACUCAGGUGAAAUAUAAACUUGUAUUGCAAAGAAUGGCAAGUGCUUCUUCCAGAACGUCUUCUCUUAGAUACUCCAGUUUGUGGGAGAGAUUAGGGUCUCGACGUGUUAUUGCCUGCCUGCACACGCCGAUACUAGCCGAUAGGCGAACAAGAGCCGAACUACAGCCGAACUAGGCGAUAAAACAGAAUUCUGGAUUCGAAGUGCGAACUUUCUGAUGUCAUUCCUCAAAACAGUCAGUUUCUGUGUUUUUAUGCAUCGGAGUUCAACACCCAGUACAAGCUGAGGUCCGUCUGCCGGUUCCAAUUGCCAUGGCAACGGCUAUGUACCCGCAGGCCGACGUCAUGCGUGAGUGGAGCGCAGGUUUCGUCGUCUGCUACUACGGCACGUUUCGACAAAUUCCUCCAAAACCACUUCCCAAGAAUACACACGGU
Molecule: long non-coding RNA, 467 nt
Organism: Ornithodoros turicata
Lineage: Eukaryota; Metazoa; Arthropoda; Arachnida; Ixodida; Argasidae
Exons: 3
Source: RefSeq, a predicted model, not a curated record